Molecule: ribosomal RNA, 305 nt
Filed under: uncultured bacterium
Lineage: Bacteria
Description: bacterial SSU rRNA
Rfam family: Bacterial small subunit ribosomal RNA
Source: RNAcentral
GCCUACGGGGCGCAGCAGUGGGGAAUAUUGCACAAUGGGGGGAACCCUGAUGCAGCAACGCCGCGUGAAGGAAGACGGUUUUCGGAUUGUAAACUUCUAUCAAUAGGGAAGAAAGAAAUGACGGUACCUAAAUAAGAAGCCCCGGCUAACUACGUGCCAGCAGCCGCGGUAAUACGUAGGGGGCAAGCGUUAUCCGGAAUUACUGGGAGUAAGGGGAGAGUAGGCGGCAAGGUAAGCGAUAUGUGAAAGCAUUAGGCUUAACCUGAGGAUUGCAUAACGCACUAUCUAGCUAGAGUACAGGAGAG